UCCCCGUUACCGGGGCAGUCUGAUUAGAAAAAUCCAACUAAUCAUAAGGGUUGCGCUCGUUGAUGGACUUAACCAAACAUCUCACGACACGAGCUGAAGACGGCCAUGCAGCACCUGUCACUUGGCUCCCGAAGGCACUCUCGGCUUUCGCCAAAAUUCCAAGGAUGUCAAGCCUGGGUAAGGUUCUUCGCUUACCAUCGAAUUAAACAACACGCUCCACCGCUUGUGCGGGUCCCCGUCAAUUCCUUUGAGUUUUAAUCUUGCGACCGUACUCCCCGGGCGGAUGACUUCACGCGUUAGCUGCGUUACUAAGGGAUUUAACUCCCCCAACAACUAGUCAUCAUCGUUUAGGGCGUGGACUAC
Molecule: unclassified non-coding RNA, 363 nt
Filed under: uncultured bacterium
Lineage: Bacteria
Description: contains 16S-23S intergenic spacer region
Source: RNAcentral